UACGUAGGGGGCAAGCGUUGUGCGGAUUUACUGGGCGUAAAGAGCGUGUAGGCGGCCAAGCAGGUCCGUUGUGAAAACUGGAGGCUUAACCUCCAGACGUCGACGGAAACCGCGUGGCUAGAGUCCGGAAGAGGAGAGUGGAAUUCCUGGUGUAGCGGUGAAAUGCGCAGAUAUCAGGAAGAACACCAAUGGCGAAGGCAGCUCUCUGGGACGGUACUGACGCUGAGACGCGAAAGCGUGGGGAGCGAACAGG
This 253-nucleotide ribosomal RNA is filed under the name uncultured bacterium. Its description in RNAcentral is "partial 16S ribosomal RNA". It matches the Rfam family "Bacterial small subunit ribosomal RNA", at positions 524 to 776 of the family's 1533-position model. The record is from RNAcentral.